GUGGGGAAUAUUGCACAAUGGGGGAAACCCUGAUGCAGCAACGCCGCGUGAGUGAAGAAGGUUUUCGGAUCGUAAAGCUCUGUCAUCCGGGACGAUAAUGACGGUACCGGAAGAGGAAGCCACGGCUAACUACGUGCCAGCAGCCGCGGUAAUACGUAGGUGGCGAGCGUUGUCCGGAAUUAUUGGGCGUAAAGGGUGUGUAGGCGGAUAUUUAAGUGAGAUGUGAAAGACCCGGGCUUAACUUGGGCAGUGCAUUUCAAACUGGAUAUCUAGAGUGCAGGAGAGGAGAAUGGAAUUCCUAGUGUAGCGGUGAAAUGCGUAGAGAUUAGGAAGAACACCAGUGGCGAAGGCGAUUCUCUGGACUGUAACUGACGCUGAGGCACGAAAGCGUGGGUAGCAAACAGGAUUAGAUACCCUAGUAGUCC
Molecule: ribosomal RNA, 425 nt
Filed under: uncultured bacterium
Lineage: Bacteria
Description: bacterial SSU rRNA
Rfam family: Bacterial small subunit ribosomal RNA
Source: RNAcentral